UGGCGACCGGCGCACGGUGAGUAACACGUAUCCAACCUGCCGAUGACUCGGGGAUAGCCUUUCGAAAGAAAGAUUAAUACCCGAUGGCAUAGUUCUUCCGCAUGGUGGAACUAUUAAAGAAUUUCGGUCAUCGAUGGGGAUGCGUUCCAUUAGGUUGUUGGCGGGGUAACGGCCCACCAAGCCUUCGAUGGAUAGGGGUUCUGAGAGGAAGGUCCCCCACAUUGGAACUGAGACACGGUCCAAACUCCUACGGGAGGCAGCAUG
Molecule: ribosomal RNA, 264 nt
Filed under: uncultured bacterium
Lineage: Bacteria
Description: partial 16S ribosomal RNA
Rfam family: Bacterial small subunit ribosomal RNA
Source: RNAcentral